This 258-nucleotide unclassified non-coding RNA is filed under the name uncultured fungus. Its description in RNAcentral is "partial contains 5.8S rRNA and ITS2". Lineage: Eukaryota; Fungi. The record is from RNAcentral.
UACGCACAUUGCGCCCCCUGGUAUUCCGGGGGGCAUGCCUGUCCGAGCGUCAUUUCUGCCCUCAAGCACGGCUUGUGUGUUGGGGCCCGUCCUCCGAUCCCGGGGCACAGGCCCGAAAGGCAGCGCCGGCACCGCGUCCGGUCCUCGGGCGUAUGGGGCUUUGUCACCCGCUCUGUAGGCCCUGCCAACGCUUGCCGAUCAACCCAAAUUUUUAUCCAGGUUGACCUAGGAUCAGGUAGGGAUACCCGCUGAACUUAA